Long non-coding RNA from Cyprinus carpio (common carp), 1349 nucleotides. RefSeq lists it as uncharacterized. NCBI's taxonomy places the organism in Eukaryota, Metazoa, Chordata, Actinopteri, Cypriniformes, Cyprinidae. The record is from RefSeq and is a predicted model, not a curated record. The transcript is spliced from 2 exons.
AAGAAUAAUAACUUUAUUCGAUAAUUCCUUUGUCAACAGUCUCCUCUGUGUCUCUCCAUAUUACCACAUCCUUGUAGAGCGGGUGACAUAGAAGAGCAUAUGCAGCAUACGGUGAUAUAGAGAGACACAGAGGAGACUGUUGAAAUUUCUUGUUGGUGUAACCCAUGUGAAACAUAGGGCUACUAAAACCAUAUAUGUUGUUUAGAGGUGUAGUUCUAUAUUUUCCCACCAGAGAGCGCAAUACACUAGAGCGUCAUAAACAGACUGUAUCAGGAUUGGUAGAGAGUCGAAUGGAUUAUGUGUGCAUUGUGGGAUUUGUGAAACUGUAGAGCAUGUACUGUUGCAUUAUAGAGCAUAUAACAACGAACGACAAAUGCUAGAAGCUAAAGUAAUAGAAGAAGGUGGAAGCAUGAUGCUAGUAGAUAUAUUAAGUAAGCUAAAAAGGAAUAAGAAUAUUAGAUUUGCUUUGUUGAAAUAUCUUAAAGAUACAGGAAAUUAUAUAAGAAUAUAAUGAUGUUUAUUUAUUUAUUUAUGACUAUUAGUGUUAUUAUUUAGUAUGAUAUACAUAUAUGAUACAUAUACAUGCAUCGAUGCUCCACACUCCAGUUCAGAUGGUGGUGGUAAUGCACUAAUAAGCUAGUCUGCCAACCGCCAAUAAACAGAAAGAAGAAGAAGAAUUGGUAGAGAGUGCUACGCGCAGUUUUCAUGUUUUGGUAGAUCUCUUCCUGAAACCGCGUGUAAGCUGUGAACAAUUGCUGGUGUGUAACGCAACAUAAUAGUGUGAAGCUUUGAUUAUAUACACGUAUCUACACUGAUAAGCCCCUUCAUUAGUAGAGCACCAACUGUGAGCACGUGAGGAGCAGCCUCAGUCGGGUUGUUGUUGUUUGAAACUCCGGUUGGUUUUUUUGUUAUUUUGAUCACAACGAGAGAAAUAGACGAAUCAAAGAUGGCGAGCCCAGCCCAGAGUGAUGGUGGAUGGUCGUGAGAACGGUGUGGCCAGCCGUGGGACCAGCCACCGAGGACGUCGGACUAGUUUCGUUCAGACAGGAUACAGAUAAGAAUACACUUACGCUAUUAACUCUACCCGGGUAGUAGUAACUGGACUUUUAUACACACACACACACACACACACACAAAAGGACCAGGAACUGAACUCUGAACUCAAUUUCAUACUCCUCAACUUAAAGGAGCAUUGAGCUGAAGUGUCAGCUCACAGGGACAUUUUCUUUUCCUUUUAUUAUUGAAAGAGCUCUAUUUUUGUUUUAUUUUAUUUUCAUUCUUGGUACAUUAUAGUACUGUGUUCAUUGUUGUGUCCCCUAAUGUAAUAAAACUGUCAACUGUUCAACUCA